AUUGAACGCUGGCGGCAGGCCUAACACAUGCCAGUCGAACGGUAACAGGGAUCAGCUUGCUGAUUCGCUGACGAGUGGCGGACGGGUGAGUAAUGUCUGGGAUACUGCCUGAUGGAGGGGGAUAACUACUGGAAACGGUAGCUAAUACCGCAUAACGUCGCAAGACCAAAGAGGGGGACCUUCGGGCCUCUUGCCAUCGGAUGUGCCCAGAUGGGAUUAGCUAGUAGGUGGGGUAACGGCUCACCUAGGCGACGAUCCCUAGCUGGUCUGAGAGGAUGACCAGCCACACUGGAACUGAGACACGGUCCAGACUCCUACGGGAGGCAGCAGUGGGGAAUAUUGCACAAUGGGCGCAAGCCUGAUGCAGCCAUGCCGCGUGUAUGAAGAAGGCCUUCGGGUUGUAAAGUACUUUCAGCGGGGAGGAAGGGAGUAAAGUUAAUACCUUUGCUCAUUGACGUUACCCGCAGAAGAAGCACCGGCUAACUCCGUG
RNAcentral lists this ribosomal RNA (490 nucleotides) under uncultured bacterium. RNAcentral's name for it is "partial 16S ribosomal RNA". It matches the Rfam family "Bacterial small subunit ribosomal RNA", at positions 30 to 507 of the family's 1533-position model. The record is from RNAcentral.